CCUACGGGUGGCAGCAGUGGGGAAUAUUGCUCAAUGGGGGAAACCCUGAAGCAGCAACGCCGCGUGGAGGAUGAAGGUUUUCGGAUUGUAAACUCCUGUUGGUAGAGAAGAGAAUGACGGUAGCUAACGAAUAAGCACCGGCUAACGCCGUGCCAGCAGCCGCGGUAAUACGGAGGGUGCAAGCGUUACGCGGAACCACUGGGCGUAAAGAGCGCGUAGGCGGGAUAGCAAGUCAGAUGUGAAAUCCUAUGGCUUAACCAUAGAACUGCAUUUGAAACUGUUAUUCUAGAGUAUGGGAGAGGUAGGUGGAAUUCUUGGUGUAGGGGUUCACUCCGU
RNAcentral lists this ribosomal RNA (336 nucleotides) under uncultured bacterium. RNAcentral's name for it is "partial 16S ribosomal RNA". It matches the Rfam family "Bacterial small subunit ribosomal RNA", at positions 338 to 691 of the family's 1533-position model. The record is from RNAcentral.